RNAcentral lists this ribosomal RNA (864 nucleotides) under uncultured euryarchaeote VAL2. RNAcentral describes it as "bacterial SSU rRNA". It matches the Rfam family "Archaeal small subunit ribosomal RNA", at positions 1 to 872 of the family's 1478-position model. The record is from RNAcentral. Lineage: Archaea; Methanobacteriati; Methanobacteriota.
UUCCGGUUGAUCCUGCCGGAGUCACUGCUAUUGGGAUUCGACUAAGCCAUGCGAGUCGCGAGGGUUCGGCCCUCGGCUGACGGCUCAGUAACACGCGGAUAAUCUGCCCUUAGGUGGAGGAUAACCUCGGGAAACUGAGAAUAAGACUCCAUAGAUCUAGGAGGCUGGAAUGCACUUAGAUUUAAAACUUCGGUGCCUAAGGAUGAGUCUGCGGACUAUCAGGUAGUAGUCAGGGUAAUGACCUGACCAGCCUAUGACGGAUACGGGUUGUGAGAGCAAUAACCCGGAGAUGAUAUCUGAGACACGAUAUCAGGCCCUACGGGGCGCAGCAGGCGCGAAAACUUCACACUGUGCGAAAGCACGAUGAGGGAAUCCCAAGUGCUGGCUCGUAAGAGUCAGCUGUUUUUCUGUCUAGAAAACAGAGAGAGUAAGAGCUGGGUAAGACGGGUGCCAGCCGCCGCGGUAAUACCUGCAGCUCAAGUGGUGGCCGCUAUUAUUGGGCCUAAAACGUUCGUAGCCGGUCUAGUAAAUGCCUGGGUAAAUCAUACGGCUUAACCGUAUGAAUUCCGGGUAGACUGCUGGACUUGGGACUGGGAGAGGCUAGAGGUACUCCUGGGGUAGAGGUGAAAUUCUGUAAUCCUAGGGGGACGACCAGUGGCGAAGGCGUCUAGCUAGAACAGGUCUGACGGUGAGGAACGAAGCCCUGGGGCGCAAACGGGAUUAGAUACCCCGGUAGUCCAGGGUGUAAACGCUGCUUGCUUGAUGUUAGUCGGGCUCCGAGCCCGAUUAGUGUCGGAGAGAAGUUGUUAAGCAAGCUGCCUGGGGAGUACGGCCGCAAGACUGAAACUUAAAGGAAUUGGCGGG